Molecule: non-coding RNA, 623 nt
Organism: Python bivittatus (Burmese python)
Lineage: Eukaryota; Metazoa; Chordata; Lepidosauria; Squamata; Pythonidae
Source: RefSeq, a predicted model, not a curated record
GGGCCUGAAACCUGACUGAUAAGGGUCCAGAUUAUCUGGCUAUUUAUGGAGACUUAGUUUAAUGUUAUGUAAUGUAAUGUAAUGUAAUUUAUAGGUGUCAAAUUAUUGACUUUCAUCAGUCUACUGGCUCUUCUGGCACACACCCUCGUUUGUUUGAAUGGGUAUUAAACUAUUAUUCUUCAGGUAAAGAAAACAAUGCAAAGGUUAUGAGUACCUCCAAGCCACCAAUUUAUCUUCAGCACCAAGGUCAUAGUCGUACCAUUGUUGGAAUUGAGGAAAGAAAAAACAAAAGUUUAUGUCUACUAAUAUUUGAUCCUGGCUGCCCUUCACAAGAAAUGCAAAAACUCUUAAAAGGCAUUGAUGGGAACAAUCUAAAAUUCCUUCGAAGGCUUCCAGGAGGCUUAAAGCAUAAGCAGUAUCAAAUAGUGGCUGUAGAUGGUAUACUGACAGAAGAGGAAAAAGUUGCUCGUAGGCAGGCUUCUCAACUCUUCAUGGCACAGAAAAUUCCUUGAAAUAAGAAUUCCUGAAAAAUGGAAGAAGUUAAAGGCUGCAAGGGAGAUCUGUUCAUACAGGUUGUUGAGUGAUGUACAUAGCAUUUUUUAAGCAUUUCAAAAUAAAUAUUG